UACGGAGGGUGCGAGCGUUAAUCGGAAUUACUGGGCGUAAAGCGUGCGCAGGCGGUUUGUUAAGCGAGAUGUGAAAGCCCCGGGCUCAACCUGGGAACCGCAUUUCGAACUGGCAAACUAGAGUCUUGUAGAGGGGGGUAGAAUUCCAGGUGUAGCGGUGAAAUGCGUAGAGAUCUGGAGGAAUACCGGUGGCGAAGGCGGCCCCCUGGACAAAGACUGACGCUCAGGCACGAAAGCGUGGGGAGCAAACAGGAUUAGAAACCCUGUAGUCC
This 272-nucleotide ribosomal RNA is filed under the name uncultured prokaryote. Its description in RNAcentral is "partial 16S ribosomal RNA". It matches the Rfam family "Bacterial small subunit ribosomal RNA", at positions 524 to 796 of the family's 1533-position model. The record is from RNAcentral.